This 635-nucleotide ribosomal RNA is filed under the name uncultured Marinobacter sp. RNAcentral's name for it is "bacterial SSU rRNA". It matches the Rfam family "Bacterial small subunit ribosomal RNA", at positions 870 to 1504 of the family's 1533-position model. Lineage: Bacteria; Pseudomonadati; Pseudomonadota; Gammaproteobacteria; Pseudomonadales; Marinobacteraceae. The record is from RNAcentral.
CGCCUGGGGAGUGCGGCCGCAAGGCUAAAACUCAAAUGAAUUGACGGGGGCCCGCACAAGCGGUGGAGCAUGUGGUUUAAUUCGACGCAACGCGAAGAACCUUACCUGGCCUUGACAUCCAGAGAACUUUCCAGAGAUGGAUUGGUGCCUUCGGGAACUCUGAGACAGGUGCUGCAUGGCCGUCGUCAGCCCGUGUCGUGAGAUGUUGGGUUAAGUCCCGUAACGAGCGCAACCCCUAUCCCUGGUUGCUAGCAGGUAAUGCUGAGAACUCCAGGGAGACUGCCGGUGACAAACCGGAGGAAGGUGGGGAUGACGUCAGGUCAUCAUGGCCCUUACGGCCAGGGCUACACACGUGCUACAAUGGCGCGUACAGAGGGCUGCCAACUCGCGAGAGUGAGCCAAUCCCUUAAAACGCGUCGUAGUCCGGAUCGGAGUCUGCAACUCGACUCCGUGAAGUCGGAAUCGCUAGUAAUCGCGAAUCAGAAUGUCGCGGUGAAUACGUUCCCGGGCCUUGUACACACCGCCCGUCACACCAUGGGAGUGGAUUGCACCAGAAGUAGUUAGUCUAACCUUCGGGAGGACGAUUACCACGGUGUGGUUCAUGACUGGGGUGAAGUCGUAACAAGGUAACCGUA